UACGAAGGGGGCUAGCGUUGCUCGGAAUCACUGGGCGUAAAGCGCACGUAGGCGGCUUCUUAAGUCAGGGGUGAAAUCCUGGAGCUCAACUCCAGAACUGCCUCUGAUACUGAGGAGCUCGAGUCCGGGAGAGGUGAGUGGAACUCCUAGUGUAGAGGUGGAAUUCGUAGAUAUUAGGAAGAACACCAGUGGCGAAGGCGGCUCACUGGUCCGGUACUGACGCUGAGGUGCGAAAGCGUGGGGAGCAAACAGG
Molecule: ribosomal RNA, 253 nt
Filed under: uncultured bacterium
Lineage: Bacteria
Description: partial 16S ribosomal RNA
Rfam family: Bacterial small subunit ribosomal RNA
Source: RNAcentral